UGGGCGUAAGGGCUCGCAGGCGGUUUCUUAAGUCUGAUGUGAAAGCCCCCGGCUCAACCGGGGAGGGUCAUUGGAAACUGGGAAACUUGAGUGCACAAGAGGAGAGUGGAAUUCCACGUGUAGCGGUGAAAUGCGUAGAGAUGUGGAGGAACACCAGUGGCGAAGGCGACUCUCUGGUCUGUAACUGACGCUGAGGAGCGAAAGCGUGGGGAGCGAACAGGAUUAGAUACCCUGGUAGUCCACGCCGUAAACGAUGAGUGCUAAGUGUUAGGGGGUUUCCGCCC
RNAcentral lists this ribosomal RNA (284 nucleotides) under Bacillus pumilus. RNAcentral describes it as "partial 16S ribosomal RNA". It matches the Rfam family "Bacterial small subunit ribosomal RNA", at positions 555 to 838 of the family's 1533-position model. The record is from RNAcentral. Lineage: Bacteria; Bacillati; Bacillota; Bacilli; Caryophanales; Bacillaceae.